RNAcentral lists this ribosomal RNA (332 nucleotides) under uncultured Gemmatimonadota bacterium. RNAcentral describes it as "bacterial SSU rRNA". It matches the Rfam family "Bacterial small subunit ribosomal RNA", at positions 568 to 898 of the family's 1533-position model. Lineage: Bacteria; Pseudomonadati; Gemmatimonadota. The record is from RNAcentral.
CGCGUAGGCGGCUCAUGAAGGCUGUGGUGAAAGUCCGGGGCUCAACCUCGGAUCGGCCGUGGCGACUCGUGGGCUGGAGCACUGUAGAGGCGGGUGGAAUUCCGGGUGUAGCGGUGGAAUGCGUAGAGAUCCGGAAGAACACCAGUGGCGAAGGCGGCCCGCUGGGCAGUGGCUGACGCUGAAGCGCGACAGCGUGGGGAGCAAACAGGAUUAGAUACCCUGGUAGUCCACGCCGUAAACGAUGGGCACUAGGUGCUUGGGGGAGCGACCCUCUGAGUGCCGGCGCUAACGCAUUAAGUGCCCCGCCUGGGGAGUACGGCCGCAAGGCUGAA